Molecule: ribosomal RNA, 253 nt
Filed under: uncultured bacterium
Lineage: Bacteria
Description: partial 16S ribosomal RNA
Rfam family: Bacterial small subunit ribosomal RNA
Source: RNAcentral
UACGUAGGGACCGAGCGUUGUCCGGAAUCAUUGGGCGUAAAGAGCGUGUAGGCGGCCUUUUAAGUCCUGCGUGAAAUCCUGCGGCUCAACCGCAGACGGUCGUGGGAAACUGGAAGGCUAGAGUGCGGGAGAGGAGAGUGGAAUUCCCGGUGUAGCGGUGAAAUGCGCAGAUAUCGGGAAGAACACCCGUGGCGAAGGCGGCUCUCUGGAACGCAACUGACGCUGAGACGCGACAGCGUGGGGAGCAAACAGG